UGGGGGUAUAGCUCAGUUGGUAGAGUGUUUGCCCCUCAAGCAUGAGGCCCUGGGUUCAAUCCCCAGUACCGCAA
This is a non-coding RNA of Sciurus carolinensis (gray squirrel), 74 nucleotides long. The record is from the annotation of a RefSeq genome assembly. Lineage: Eukaryota; Metazoa; Chordata; Mammalia; Rodentia; Sciuridae.